UCUUUUGCAACCUAUGAUCGCAAGGAGUGACUUUUUAUCUCCUGUUCUUGAUGAUGUGUGCAAAACAGUUGAAUGUGGAAAGGGAACCUGCAAGCCAUCCCAUAACAGCACUUUGUUUUAUGAAUGUGAAUGUGAUUCUGGUUGGAAGCAGACUCGCUCUGACCAUGAUGAUCAUCACAAGUUUCUUCCUUGCAUAGUUCCCAACUGUACCCUGGACUACUUAUGUCAGGCAGCUCCCUCACCGAUUCAAAAUAAAGCAAGCAAAGCUAAUGCAUCAAUUUUUGAUCCCUGUUUUUGGACUGAUUGUGGAGGCGGUUCCUGUAACAAGACAUCUACUUUCACUUACAGUUGCGAAUGUACAGAGGGUUACUAUAACCUUCUCAAUGUCUCUAACUUUCCAUGCUUGAAAGAAUGUUCGAUUGGAAUGGAUUGUUCAGGACUUGGGAUUUCGAUUUCAAAUAAGUCAGCUUCUCCAGCACCUGUAUUAACUGAUAGCGGUCAGAAUCAAGCUGGUUCAAGUCUUCAACACAGUUUCCCUUGGUUGAUGGCAUUAAUCAUGUCUCUGGCUAUGAUUCAGUGGAAAUAGAAUUGGAGUACCACAUUCCAUUUAGAUCAUAUACAGUUUCUCAUGAUCAUCUGCUUUUGAUUUAUAUGUUUGAUGCCUUAUUUAGUUAAAUAAUUGCAUUUCUGUCUGUAAAUUUCCCCAUUAUGUGAAUGAGUUAGAAUACAAAUUCUUUAGGGUUUAGUGUGUAGCUUGUAAGCAUAUGAUGCAGAGAGGAUUUUGUUA
Molecule: unclassified non-coding RNA, 787 nt
Filed under: Hevea brasiliensis (rubber tree)
Lineage: Eukaryota; Viridiplantae; Streptophyta; Magnoliopsida; Malpighiales; Euphorbiaceae
Source: RNAcentral